RNAcentral lists this ribosomal RNA (253 nucleotides) under uncultured bacterium. Its description in RNAcentral is "partial 16S ribosomal RNA". It matches the Rfam family "Bacterial small subunit ribosomal RNA", at positions 524 to 776 of the family's 1533-position model. The record is from RNAcentral.
UACGGAGGGUGCAAGCAUUGAUCGGAAUUACUGGGCGUAAAGGGCGCGUAGGCGGUUCAGAAAGUCAGAUGUGAAAUUCCGGGGCUCAACCCCGGAGCAGCAUUUGAAACUCCUGACCUAGAGUACAGUUAGGGAAAACGGAAUUCCACGUGUAGCGGUGAAAUGCGUAGAUAUGUGGAAGAACACCGGUGGUGAAGACGGUUUUCUGGGCUGAAACUGACGCUGAGGCGCGAAAGCUAGGGGAGCAAACAGG